Non-coding RNA from Chiloscyllium plagiosum (whitespotted bambooshark), 3269 nucleotides. The record is from RefSeq and is a predicted model, not a curated record. NCBI's taxonomy places the organism in Eukaryota, Metazoa, Chordata, Chondrichthyes, Orectolobiformes, Hemiscylliidae.
AGGGUUUGGCAUUGAACAACCCUCUCAUUUGUUAAACUGUCACAGUACUGGCUACCAUUAGCAGUGGUGCUCCUGAGGUUGCUGAGCUGCUGAUCCUUGGAUUGGGAUCACAACUAUGGAGGACGGGCUGGCAUCCUCAACUGGAUGAUGGCCCCCAGGAGUGUCCUUUUAAUUCACCACGGCUGGUAGAAUGCUGCUCCAGGUUCCCACACAAUUGUAGUUGUGUAGACUGCACUUUCAGUCCCAAAAGCAGGACUCAAUCUUUCACAAAAAAAUGUAUUUUCAGACAGAUUGCACUCUAUCUUUUCCUCCAAAAAUGUAUGUAGAUAAAAAGCGUAUUUUAAAGAUUGAAAAAAAACUAAAAACCUGACCAUGAUAUUGAUUGAAGACUAAGACCAUUUUGUAAGAUAGCACAAUUUGUAAAUUAGAUAUAAAAACUGUUUCAGUAUCGUACCUAAUAAUAUGCAGAGCUAUUACUGUGUAAGGCACAAUUGCUGCAAAAUUGAUGGCUGACCUUUCAGUUGCCUAAAGCCCGAGCUCUAAAAUUCAUUUCAUAUUGCUCCCUUUCCUGUCUGAGAAGCUUUCCUCCUAUAGAACACUUCUUAAAAACAACUUCUUUGACCAACCCUUUGUUCAUCUGAUCUAAUAUUUCCUUACGUGGCUUAGUAUCAUAUUCUGUUUUGUCAUGUUCCUGUGAAAUGUCUUGAAAUGUUUUAUUAUGCUAAAGCCUUAUAUAAAUAUAAACUAUUGUUGUUGUAACAUGGUAAUUAUACAACACCACUGUUCUAAAAUUGGUAGCUGCAGAAUGCAAUGCGCAGUUGGCAAGAUCUGAGUUAUGCUGUGCUACAAGUUGUAAUUGGCAUGCCACAGACAUGUGCAACAUUCUGCUAUCUCUACAAAUAAGCUUUAAUCUUAGUAGAGACUAAGCUAUAGAGCCUGCUUUCUCACAGCAUCGAACAUAUUCAAAAUAUGUUUACAAUGUAAUCCAAAAUUCCAAUUAACUGACUGUGCAUUGUUUAAAUUUGUUUUUGCUCCUAGAUUGGAUUUAAAGUCCUCCAAACUGAGUGAUGUGACACAGCCUCCUGGAUGAUCUGGAGGAUUUCUUGGAGCUUGGUUACGGACUGCAGGAUUAUAAUGUGAUGUGCACCCAAGAUUCCUUCACAGGAAAAUGACCUUAUAAUGUAACUGCAUUCUAAACAAUCACUGCAGAUCUGGGGAUCCCAAAAUGUCAUCUUUGCAAAGAAAUCCUUUGACUUACCUUCCUUUGACUUUACAGAAGAUUACAACUUGGGCAUCAUAAUGCUUCAGUACAAAAAAAAUGAAACAAAUCAUCUCAAAUCUGAAUAAUUUGGUUUUAUUCUAUAUAAACAAUUCCAGAAAAAUGGACGUUGUGCUCAGAAGCCAUUAUGAAGACAGCAUUUCAAAAUGAGUCACAAUAAGACAGAGUUCUAACUCGCCACUGUAAAGAUCCCAGGUUAAGCUGCAGAAACAAAGAAAGUAGACAGCCAUCUGACAUUAUCACACAUUAAUCCCUUCCAAGCACAGUUCAUUAAUCAGCAACUGGUAUACUGUUAAAAUUGAGUUGCAGUGAUCUAGGAUUGACUAAAGAAAGAUGAGCAGGAGCAAAUGCAUUUUGUACAGACAGCAGAGGUCAAAGUUCUGGAGAGAAUAAGUUUGUGUUGUAGUUCCCUACAUAGGACAUGGAUGAAGACAUCUAGGAACUAGAUGAUAACUUUGUGCCUGAAAUUGGAUUGUCUGCCAAAGAUCCUCUGCAUCAUGUUGGACUGUGCGUAGGACUGUACUUCCAACUUUUAAAAUUAUUGUUUAUGCCAUUAAAACAAUGCAAUACACAAUGGGACAUAUACUCAGUUUUAUGCAAUCUGCAACAGUUGCUAAGUUCAGAAGCCUAUGGCAUACUGGUACAUUUAAAUUCUGGGCAAAACCCUCUAUACAGACUUGCAACAUUUGAACUAAGUACAAAAAAGAGACUUAAGCAGCAUCAAAGUUCUUCAGCAAUCUAUUCUCCCACAAAUCAAUAUGAGUGAGAAGUUAGUGCUAUGCAAAAGAUAAACAGAAUUUGAACAUUGGAAAAACAUGUCUUGGAGCAGAAGGCUUGAGGGAAUGAAUGGUUUACUCCUACUGCUAUUUCUUGCAGCAUAAAUGUACCAGUUAGUUGACCCAUGACAAUAAACAUAUUGAGAGUUAAGUUGCAAAACUGUUUAAGAACAUGCCAAAGUAAUGCAACAGUACUUCGUCACACCGCUUCCCAAAUAAUAGCAAUAACUCUGACUCUGAAAAUACAUCCAACUUAAAGAAGAAGAAACUUUAAAGUUUGAGGAAAGGUUGAAAAAGAUAAUUGUUUGGUAUCACUUAACAUUUAAUCAAAUAGUAUGGCUUAGGAAAUAAAAUUCUUAGCCAGUGGCAGAUCACCCAAAGGUCAUUUACAGUGGAUAAAAUUAAAGCACUGAAAUAGUUGGUGAACUGAAUAGCUUGAUUUCUUCAAAAUCAUGAGAAAUAAAAAAUUCAUGAAUUCUUGUGCACUUCCAAUAUUUUUUGCUUGUUUAAGGCAAACAUUUUCCAUGCUUGCACAACUUCAAUGACACUGUUUUAUUCUAUCGUCUGUGCAAUAAAAGGAUAGACAGGUUAAUGUUGUUCCAAUGAUUAUCAGCUCUACUAGAAAUUUGAUUAAUGCUUCAUGUAUGUACGUAGUCUAAUUCACACAAAAUGUGAUUUCAUUUGUCAUUCACAGGAAUGUUUUAUUCCUCAUGUCACCCAAAAAGAAACAGAAUAUGAAUUUAUAAAGCACCUUUCACAACUUCAGGAUAUUUCAAACAAUAUAUCGCCAACUAAUUUCCUUUUCAAGUGUUGUGACCUUUGUAACAAGAAACAUAGUAGCCAAUUAGCACUAUGCAAUGUCCACAAAGAACUUAAUCAGUUUAAUGAUAUUGUUUGACGGAUAUAUAUCAAACAGUAUACAAGGUCUUCCAAUUGUCUCCAAAUAUCAUUGAGGAAUCUUUUAUGUCCAUCUGAGAAGAUGUUAAGGUAUUUUAUUAUGUCUCUCUGAAAGAUGGCACUUCCCAAAGUGCAUUGCUUUACAAUACUGCACUGGAGUGCUGGCUUAGACAUUUAAAAAAAAAUCAUGUGACUUGUAUAAUGUGGUGUAAUGUUACUCAUGGCCUGGUCAAAUUAAUGCAAAAAGUCAAUUUUUCUUCAGUUGAUAUUCACUAUUAUAACUCCAAUAGCAAAAAUAAGACUAAUAUGGUAGCCAA